AUUGAACGCUGGCGGCAGGCCUAACACAUGCAAGUCGAGCGGAUGACAGGAGCUUGCUCCUGAAUUCAGCGGCGGACGGGUGAGUAAUGCCUAGGAAUCUGCCUGGUAGUGGGGGACAACGUUUCGAAAGGAACGCUAAUACCGCAUACGUCCUACGGGAGAAAGCAGGGGACCUUCGGGCCUUGCGCUAUCAGAUGAGCCUAGGUCGGAUUAGCUAGUUGGUGAGGUAAUGGCUCACCAAGGCGACGAUCCGUAACUGGUCUGAGAGGAUGAUCAGUCACACUGGAACUGAGACACGGUCCAGACUCCUACGGGAGGCAGCAGUGGGGAAUAUUGGACAAUNGGNGAAAGCCUGAUCCAGCCAUGCCGCGUGUGUGAAGAAGGUCUUCGGAUUGUAAAGCACUUUAAGUUGGGAGGAAGGGCAGUAAAUUAAUACUUUGCUGUUNUGACGUUACCGACAGAAUAAGCACCGGCUA
RNAcentral lists this ribosomal RNA (476 nucleotides) under Pseudomonas sp. NN018594. RNAcentral's name for it is "bacterial SSU rRNA". It matches the Rfam family "Bacterial small subunit ribosomal RNA", at positions 30 to 499 of the family's 1533-position model. The record is from RNAcentral. Lineage: Bacteria; Pseudomonadati; Pseudomonadota; Gammaproteobacteria; Pseudomonadales; Pseudomonadaceae.